This 73-nucleotide transfer RNA is filed under the name Pirellulales bacterium. RNAcentral describes it as "tRNA-Glu". It matches the Rfam family "tRNA". From Rfam's summary of the family: Transfer RNA (tRNA) molecules are approximately 80 nucleotides in length. Their secondary structure includes four short double-helical elements and three loops (D, anti-codon, and T loops). Lineage: Bacteria; Pseudomonadati; Planctomycetota; Planctomycetia; Pirellulales. The record is from RNAcentral.
GCCCCCUUCGUCUAGUGGCCCAGGAUAUCGGAUUCUCAGUCCGAGGACAGGGGUUCGACUCCCCUAGGGGGUA